CGGGAGAUUAAUCUCUUUCCUUCGCAUCGACUCUGUUUACAGUGACCGCGCAUGCGCCGUAUGUCUCCUUCAUCGUGCCCUGUCCCAGUUGUAGACAGCGUCACGCUAGCUGUCGGACCGCUGAGCCGCAUCGCAACAGGCACCUCCCGGCGCAGCAGACCACCUCGGCUAACACGUUAGCACCGCACAAUGGCUGUCCCUCCGUCAUACUCAGACCUGGGCAAGGCUGCCAAGGACAUAUUCAGCAAGGGCUACGGCUUUGGUGCUGUAAAGCUGGACCUUAAGACCAAAUCACAAAGUGGAGUGAUGGAGUUCAACACGUCUGGCUCCAGUAACACAGAUACGGGGAAGGCCUCGGGGAGCCUGGAGACCAAGUACAAGAUGAAGGAGCUGGGCCUGAUCAUCAACCAGAAGUGGAACACAGAUAACACCCUGGCUACUGAAGUCACUGUGGAGGACCAGCUGGCUCAAGGACUGAAGGUCGCCCUGGACACAUCUUUUGUACCCAACACAGGUAAGAAGAGCGGCAAGCUGAAGACGGGUUACAAGCGCAACUACGUGAACCUGGGCUGUGACGUCGACUUUGAGGGGCCCAUCAUCCACGCUGCGGCCGUGCUGGGCUACGAGGGCUGGCUGGCCGGCUACCAGAUGGCCUUCCACACGGCCAAAUCCAAACUGGUCCAGAACAACUUCGCCCUCGGCUACAGGGCCGGGGACUUCCAGCUGCACACCAACGUUAAUGACGGGGCCGAGUUCGGCGGCUCCAUCUACCAGAGGGUGAACGACGAGCUGGAGACGGCGGUCACUCUGGCCUGGACCGCUGGCAGUAACAACACUCGCUUUGGCAUUGCUGCCAAAUACAAGCUGGAUAAAGACAUCUCUGUGUCUGCCAAAGUGAACAACGCCAGUCUGAUCGGAGUAGGCUACACUCAGAGCCUUCGCCCAGGUGUGAAGGUCACCCUCUCAGCCCUGAUCGACGGGAAGAACUUCAACGCCGGCGGACACAAAGUCGGCCUGGGCUUUGAGCUGGAGGUGUAACAGGGCGACCUGAGGCCCACAUCACCACCCUCUUCUCCUAUGACCAUCCUAUUUAUUUUAUUAUUAUUUUUGUAAACAUGAAUCAAAAUGCGCUUCUUCCAUCUGCUUAUGUUUCAACGACUCUUUUCUUUGUCCCUCAGACACAGCACCUCAUUUUUCCAAUGUUAAGGGAAUUCUAAUAAUAAAAUUAAAACUGUCUUAAAUUUAUUCUUUUCUCUUGCAGAUAAGGUGCAAGGUAAUAAUUUGACAAAAUACAUCGUAACUCAAGGCUUAACUAGCCUUUUCUGGAGCUUUUACAAUGUCUCACGGUCCUCAGGGGAUGAGGUUUGCUGAGUUGUUGUGAACCAACUCCAUCUGCAGGGAGACAGAGACAAUUAAAAGCUCUGGAAAAAGCUGGUAAGUGGACCAGCAGUUCAAUAGUUUUACAUUUUGGGAAAGCUACACUUAUUUACAGAGAAGGAGAUAAGGGUACUGGCACCAGUCUCAUAUCUGUGCAAUCAAGAAAACUAUUAGCUUAGCAUGAAAAGUGCAAACAGAGAAGCAGCUAUCCAGCCAGGUUGUAGUUAAAUCCAUACAAAAACCAAAGUGUAAAGUCGGUUUGUGGUUUUAUGGGGUGUUUAUGUGUGGGAUUGUUUUUACUGAUAACUUAAAGACAGUUUAAACAGGCUGUGAAAUUUUUCUUAUUGCAACAGCAGCCAAAACCUGCAAAGCUUCUUCUGCCACUUUUUUUUUUUUUAUUUGACAAAAAAAAUUGUAAAGGAAUAAUGUGAUGUUUGCUUUUUAGUCCAGCGUUAACACUGCCACUCAUCUGUACAGUGAAACUGAAGCUACCUUCAACAGUCAGCUAGCUUAGCUUAGCAUUACGAAGACAUGGAGGGAACAGCUUGUCUGGCUUAAUCCCAAGAUUGUUUAUCUGCAUCUCUAAAGUUCAAUAGUUAACACAUGGUAUCACCUUAAUUCCAAGACACUCACGUUUUUAUUAGAAAUAUUUGGACUGAAUCAUACCUGAACACAGGACAUUAACAUACUCAACAAUCAAAAACAUAAUCUUAGUGCUAGCACAAGUCUGCAUUGUUUCUGUUCAUUUGUUUGGAGCACAGAUUUGUGCAAAACAUCUUUAACGAACAAACUUGUCCACAUAUUCUCAAAGACAAGAGGACUCAUCACCAGACUUGUAGCUAAAUCUGAUGUUAAGCUUCUACUACCGACUUUCCAUCUGCAGGUCGGAGGCUGAGUCAGUUAUUCCAUAAUAUUCAGUGUAUGAGCUGCAAUAAUACAGGACUGAAACCAUGGGCUUGAAUGUAGAUUUUGUAGAAAUGUCUACAGAACCUGCUGACUUGCACUAGCACUAAUAAAAGUCAUGCUGCUGUCAAUGUCACUGACUAAACAGACUUCCUAUGAACAUCCUAAAAUGAGUUUGUAAGUGAUGUAUUAUAAAUAUCUGAACUUAAUGUGUGUCUUAAUAUUCUCCAGCUCUCCAUCAGGUUCUGGUUCUUCUCUUUGAUACAACAGCAUCACCAGUAAAAAGUAUCCUUCACACUAUGUAAUCAGCAUCCAUGUCUGGCUGAGCUGCCUAAAACAGUAGCUGGUAACUGCGUCGUCGUCAGAGUUAAAGGGUCAGUUCACUCAAAUACACAUUUUAAAUUACUUCUAGUAGUAUCCAGCUGAGCAAAGAGUUUUGUUUUUAUGUGUAUAUCCAUCUCUGUGACCUCUGCACAUGAGCUGUCAUUCACCUUUUGGCAGUGAAA
Monopterus albus (swamp eel) is the source of this 2786-nucleotide RNA transcript. It is a transcript of the gene named voltage-dependent anion-selective channel protein 2, with no coding region annotated. NCBI's taxonomy places the organism in Eukaryota, Metazoa, Chordata, Actinopteri, Synbranchiformes, Synbranchidae. The transcript has 11 exons. The record is from RefSeq and is a predicted model, not a curated record.